Varroa destructor (honeybee mite) is the source of this 493-nucleotide long non-coding RNA. RefSeq lists it as uncharacterized. The record is from RefSeq and is a predicted model, not a curated record. Lineage: Eukaryota; Metazoa; Arthropoda; Arachnida; Mesostigmata; Varroidae.
AUUGUCGCGAACAGCAGCGACACCGCAUAUUCCUAAGCAGCCUUCAUUGAGUGUAGUUCCUCAGUUCUUCAUGGAACCUAAUUAACACGGACCGCGUAUAUAAGAGUCGCUCGAAACGCUUUGUGUCACUCGAAGUCAACGCUUGGCUUAGACAAGAGCAUGGAUCGCCCAGUCCAAUAACAGGUGAAAGGUAGACGCGCGGCUCAGAGGAGGAGGCUCCGAUGCAGAGGCGCAGGUCCAAGAGUGGCUUGCCUCGACCGUCAAGCUGCGCCCGAUCAGACGCUGCCGUGUCACCCAGCCAAGGAGAACAGCUGGUUUGUGGCGGCUUCGUGCUGCUAGUAAGACUCCGAUUAACAUAGUUACGCGUCGACGCCGUCUAUGAGAGCUCAAGGGACUUCGGGGUCGGAGUGACCGGGGUGAACGAGGCAUGCAGAUACUCGAAGUGCUUUUCAGCACGUGAGAUAUUGAAUAAAUGAGUUGAAACGCGUUGAAA